GAGUUUGAUCCUGGCUCAGGAUAAACGCGGCGGCGUACAUAAGACAUGCAAGUCGAACGGGAGAAGCUUUAUAGAUUUAUCUUUGAAGUGGACACCGUGGCGGACGGGUGAGUAACACGUAAGCAACCUACCUGUGAGAGGGGGAUAACAGUGAGAAAUUACUGAUAAUACCGCAUAAGCUGACAGUACCGCAUGGUACAGUCAGAAAAGAUUUAUCGCUCAUAGAUGGGCUUGCGUCUGAUUAGCUAGUUGGUGAGAUAACAGCUCACCAAGGCGACGAUCAGUAGCCGGAUUGAGAGGUUGAACGGCCACAUUGGGACUGAGACACGGCCCAGACUCCUACGGGAGGCAGCAGUCGGGAAUAUUGCACAAUGGAGGAAACUCUGAUGCAGUGACGCCGCGUAUAGGAAGAAGGUCUUAGGAUUGUAAGCUAUUGUCGUGCGCGAAGAAAAUGACCAGCGCAGGAGGAGCCC
Molecule: ribosomal RNA, 473 nt
Filed under: Clostridiales bacterium canine oral taxon 225
Lineage: Bacteria; Bacillati; Bacillota; Clostridia; Eubacteriales
Description: bacterial SSU rRNA
Rfam family: Bacterial small subunit ribosomal RNA
Source: RNAcentral